Long non-coding RNA from Molossus molossus (Pallas's mastiff bat), 951 nucleotides. RefSeq lists it as uncharacterized. The transcript is spliced from 6 exons. The record is from RefSeq and is a predicted model, not a curated record. Lineage: Eukaryota; Metazoa; Chordata; Mammalia; Chiroptera; Molossidae.
GGCCCCGGCGGCUCGACCCGGCGCGGGCGAGAGGCCCGGCGCGGGAAUCCCGUGCGGGCGACCUCGAGGUGCCGGCAGCUGCGCUCGGACCCGGGUCUCCACCGGGAGAGCUUUUUUAACCCCUUUCCGGAAAGGUGGGAACUCAUCUUGACGGUCGAGUUUAACAGAACAAUGGAAGCCCUGGCUACGUUUAAAGAAAAAUAAAACUUGUGUGUGUGUGUCUGUGUUUUUUUUUUUUUUUCCUUCUCCUUUUGGGUGUUGGCUCUUAACUCUUUCCAAGCCGAUUUUGCCCAGGGCUGCCGUGCUCACCGAGGAGAAGGGACUGGCUGGGGCUGAAACCUUGGUGACGUUCAGGUAACUUACAAGAUUAAAAUUAAAUUUGGUUGAUGAUGGUUCUGAACAAAUACAGCUCUUUUAUUUGAGAUAAACUAUUCUGAAGACUGAGACCGUGGAGUUUUAUCUGAGGAUAAAGGAAAUCUUUGCGGAAAUCUAUAUUUUAUAUAGCAAAAAUGUGAUUCCUGAGACUGAAUCUCUAAAGGGCCCAUACAACGUAAUAGAUGUUGGUGGAAGCAUUUACACCCAGUCAGCUUGAAGAGUCUCAAAUGGACCCUACUACUGAAAAACCAAGAUGGCAGUCCACUAUGGGGAAUAGAGGAAAAUGGAUUAAUACGAGUGCUGUGAUAAUAUACAACCAAGACAGGGUUCUUUUAACAUGGAUUUCAUGAAAUGAAGACAAUAGGUUUCUUACCCAACACAAAUGGACAGUGGAUUUGACUUUCUAAAGACUUUUUGUAUCAUUAAAACAAGUCCAUUUUUGGCAUUUGGAGAUGAAAAAUGGUACCUUAACAGAGAUGAUAGUUUGUAUGCCUGGAAUUUUUUUCAGCUUGAUUUGUAUGAAUAUGACCUUGUGAAAUGUUAACUUUUAAUAAAAUUUCUAACACUUUAAAAUUU